AAACCAACCGGGAUUGCCUCAGUAACGGCGAGUGAAGCGGCAAAAAGCUCAAAUUUGAAAUCUCCGUAAGGCGAGUUGUAAUUUGAAGAGGGUACUUUGGGGCGGCGCCUUGUCUAUGUUCCUUGGAACAGGACGUCACAGAGGGUGAGAAUCCCGUGCGAUGAGGAGAGCCGUUCUAUGUAAAGUUCCUUCGACGAGUCGAGUUGUUUGGGAAUGCAGCUCUAAGUGGGUGGUAAAUUCCAUCUAAAGCUAAAUAUUGGCGAGAGACCGAUAGCGAACAAGUACAGUGAUGGAAAGAUGAAAAGCACUUUGAAAAGAGAGUGAAAAAGUACGUGAAAUUGUUGAAAGGGAAGGGCAUUUGAUCAGACAUGGCGUUUUUGCAUGCACUCGCCUCUCGUGGGCUUGGGCCUCUCAAAAAUUUCACUGGGCCAACAUCAAUUCUGGCAGCAGGAUAAAUCAUUAAGAAUGUAGCUACUUCGGUAGUGUUAUAGCUUUUUGGAAUACUGUUAC
RNAcentral lists this ribosomal RNA (510 nucleotides) under uncultured Candida. Its description in RNAcentral is "eukaryotic LSU rRNA". It matches the Rfam family "Eukaryotic large subunit ribosomal RNA", at positions 62 to 584 of the family's 3401-position model. Lineage: Eukaryota; Fungi; Ascomycota; Saccharomycetes; Saccharomycetales. The record is from RNAcentral.